GACGAACGCUGGCGGCGUGCUUAACACAUGCAAGUCGAACGGAAAGGCCCCCUUUUGGGGUACUCGAGUGGCGAACGGGGGAGUAACACGUGGGUAACCUACCCUUGACUUUGGGAUAACUUCAGGAAACUGGGGCGAAUACCGGAUAGGAGCUCCUGCUGCAUGGUGGUGGGUGGAAAGUUUCGGCGGUUGGGGAUGGACUCGCGGCUUAUCAGCUUGUUGGUGGGGUAGUGGCUCACCAAGGCUUUGACGGGUAGCCGGCCUGAGAGGGUGACCGGCCACAUUGGGACUGAGAUACGGCCCAGACUCCUACGGGAGGCAGCAGUGGGGAAUAUUGCACAAUGGGCGGAAGCCUGAUGCAGCAACGCCGCGUGCGGGAUGACGGCCUUCGGGUUGUAAACCGCUUUCGCCUGUGACGAAGCGUGAGUGACGGUAAUGGGUAAAGAAGCACCGGCUAACUACGUG
Molecule: ribosomal RNA, 465 nt
Filed under: uncultured bacterium
Lineage: Bacteria
Description: partial 16S ribosomal RNA
Rfam family: Bacterial small subunit ribosomal RNA
Source: RNAcentral